This 305-nucleotide ribosomal RNA is filed under the name uncultured bacterium. Its description in RNAcentral is "bacterial SSU rRNA". It matches the Rfam family "Bacterial small subunit ribosomal RNA", at positions 334 to 636 of the family's 1533-position model. The record is from RNAcentral.
UAUGCCUACGGGACGCAGCAGUGAGGAAUAUUGGUCAAUGGGCGGAAGCCUGAACCAGCCAAGUCGCGUGAGGGAUUAAGGCCCUGCGGGUCGUAAACCUCUUUUGCCGGGGAGCAGAGGUCCGGACGUGUCCGGGCCGGGAGAGUACCCGGAGAAAAAGCAUCGGCUAACUCCGUGCCAGCAGCCGCGGUAAUACGGAGGAUGCGAGCGUUAUCCGGAUUUAUUGGGUUUAAAGGGUGCGCAGGCGGAGGUGCAAGUCAGCGGUCAAAUUGCGGGGCUCAACCCCGUACUGCCGUUGAAACUGC